UACGUAGGCAGCGAGCGUUGUUCGGAGUUACUGGGCGUAAAGGGUGUGUAGGCGGUUAUUUAAGUUUGGUGUGAAAUCUCCCGGCUCAACCGGGAGGGUGCGCCGAAUACUGAAUGACUUGGAGUGCGGGAGAGGUGAGUGGAAUUCCUGGUGUAGCGGUGAAAUGCGUAGAUAUCAGGAGGAACACCGGUGGUGUAGACGGCUCACUGGACCGUAACUGACGCUGAGACACGAAAGCGUGGGUAGCAAACAGG
This 254-nucleotide ribosomal RNA is filed under the name uncultured bacterium. RNAcentral's name for it is "partial 16S ribosomal RNA". It matches the Rfam family "Bacterial small subunit ribosomal RNA", at positions 524 to 776 of the family's 1533-position model. The record is from RNAcentral.